This 72-nucleotide transfer RNA is filed under the name Paractinoplanes durhamensis. RNAcentral's name for it is "Actinoplanes durhamensis tRNA-Cys". It matches the Rfam family "tRNA". Rfam says of the family: Transfer RNA (tRNA) molecules are approximately 80 nucleotides in length. Their secondary structure includes four short double-helical elements and three loops (D, anti-codon, and T loops). The record is from RNAcentral. Lineage: Bacteria; Bacillati; Actinomycetota; Actinomycetes; Micromonosporales; Micromonosporaceae.
GGUCGUAUGCCCGAGUGGUGAGGGAGCCGCCCGCAAAGCGGAACACGCCGGUUCGAUCCCGGCUACGACCUC